Molecule: non-coding RNA, 284 nt
Organism: Pelodiscus sinensis (Chinese soft-shelled turtle)
Lineage: Eukaryota; Metazoa; Chordata; Testudines; Trionychidae
Source: RefSeq, a predicted model, not a curated record
CCCCCCCGCCACUCUCCUGCCCAAGGCCGUCAGUUCAGGCCCCGGUCCCAGCCGUCUGCACCCCCUAUCCUGAGGGCCCUGUUCCACAGCACGCCCACUUCCAGACGCAUGUGGACGCGGCGGUGAGUUCUGCGAGCGGCGAGCCGGAGGAGGAGAGGGAAGAGCUGCCCGAGACCCUUCAACACAAGCAGCUUCAAGUGGAGCUGGACUAUGAAACCCUGCUGGACCAGUACAGUCGCUUCAAGGCCUUGCCUGGCUCUCUGAGCAUGGAACAGCUGGGCCUG